CAAUCUGAAUCAGGCCCAGAGUGUUUUAUUAUUUCUCUAUCACCCUGCAAUGUCCGCUGUUCACGUUUAUAUGCGGUCACCGGGCUGCCACAUUUGAUUGACUCUGUCACACUUAUUAGCUUAAGAUCGGAUCAAUGGAAUGGAUGACAGACCAAACUAAUCAUGUGGAGGGUGUCUGUACAAUGAUUGCAUUUAUGGAGAACCCUUGAUGAACAUGUGAGUAUCAUGCAGCACAGUAACAUGAGUUAUUGUAUAAUUACACGUUCAUUUUAUUUCAUCAGGGAGCCCCUGAAUAGUAAAGUCACUGCCUCGCAGUUAGCUUCAACAUUUUGAGACCAGGGUUUAAAUCCUAAAUGAAAAGUGCCCAAGUCCCCUCCCCAACGUGAACUGAGAUUAAUCUAACUAUAACAACAACAGAAAUCACAGUAGAAAGAUUUUUUUGAAUUGUUUGUUGGUACCAAGCUAAUGGCGAUUUACAAUCCCUUCAAUGAAAUGACCUUGAUCUAGCCUUGAAGAAAGUAUUUGCUAUUACGUUUUAUUCUGUUUAAAUGAACAUAUUUAUAUGCUGGUGUAAUAUAAUAGAAGAGAUAUAAUUGAAUACAUAGUAUUAUGUUAUUUCUAUUUUACUGAGAUAAAUCUGCUGAAAACUGUAUAUAGGCUACUCGAUGUUGGCCUGGAUACAGUAAAGAUCUGUCCAACAUAUUUCUGCUUUCAGUUGAAGCAGUAAAAAAGUUUGUUUAAGGCCAAAAUGCAAUUCAUAUUGACAUUGAUUUGCAUAUUUCCGUGAAAAAUUACAAAAAAUACAUACCAAAAAAUCGCAGGUGUGAUCAAUUAAUUGUGAGCAAAUUCAAACAAGUGACACCAAUCUAAAAGGGUCUAGAAAAACCAGACAAAAAAAUAAAAAAAAAACAGUUCAAAUAUGCGCACUGUACACAAGAGCAAUGCUAAAAAGGACACAAUCCGUUUCGAGAGCCCGGCUCAAUUGAAGCAGACAGUGUUGGUAUUUCAGCCUGUCGUCUCCCCCGGAGGAAAUUGCCAGGCGGCGAUAUUCCCUGAAGCCCAGUGCACCGAGUCAAUUACCUUAUUGGGUUAGGUGCCGUAAUGGCCUCUGAAGGGCAAUAGAAAUUAGGCGUUGCACUUACACGGAGGUGGGCUGGAACAAUCGGUAAAUGAUUGCUGCAUUACGUUACCCUUCCCUCCCUUCGAAUCCACUCAUAAAACACGAGGAAAAUCCAUUGUGAUGCUCUCACGUCGCCCGAGCCUUCAUUCCAAUCUAGUUGUGAUGAAUAAACUAGGCACGUCCAUUAAUGUCACGUAAUCACAUACUUCCGCUGGCCUUCCGUGUAGCCAUCGCUCACGAGGAACCCUGUGAUGAGUCACAAGUAAAACUGUACAUGUUAGAGGAUUAUAAAUAUACAUAGAUAAUGAGUUCCAUUUGUCCUCCGAGGGUGACUUAGUGAUGGCUGUUUUCUAGACCUUCAACUGAACAUGUAUGACUGAGUCGUGUAACGCCAGUACUGUAGAGGAAGAUUCUCUUUGACAGAUACGAUAGCGAUUGUGUUCCCAAAGUGCACCGGUGUUUUUCUAGAUUAUUAAGGGGUUUUUGUGAUGUGCCAUUUCUGCCUGGGGCAAAGCAAGAAUUGUCCCCUACGUUAGCUAAUUUCCAUCAAAUUGCACUAUAUUACCUCAAUUCAGAGACGCUGAAUAUCUGUGAGCUUUUCAUUUGAUUUCCCCCUGUUUAUUUCAUCAGCAAUAUACAAACAAUUAUUUUUCUUCCUAUUGAGCUUCGGGGCUUUCGACUGUUUGGAAAAAUUGCAUCCAUCGUGAUGACUAAGUAUCGAACAUGGACUCAGGGGAGAAUAGGCCCUCGAGUGGCAAGAGACAUUGGGACCACUGAAGGCUUCCAGACUUAAAGGGAUUUCAGGGCCUGAAUUAGUGGAGGAAGCAAGCAAAUGAAUGUCAACAGCUUACCUGGUGGUGGACCUCCCGAAGUUCUCCCAAGCCACCUUGCCUCUUCACCAUUCCCCUGGCGUCCAGUUCAACUUUGUGUCCAAGCGCCGUGUCCACUUUCUGUGGAGCAGGGAGGGAAACUGCUCCUACUUACCUUCACAUCACACUCAAACACCAACACCUCAGUUCCCAGGUGAGCGGUAAGUAGUUCCUGUGAAGAAGAUGUGGGAAAGAAAAUGGACGCUGACCUCCUGGGCAGUAACACCUCCUGUGUUGCUGUUAUUUUUGCAUGAUUUGAAUGUGUUCCUGGGCAACACAGGGGACACCUAAGAAGAUGAAGAUGUGAAACCAUGCCCUCCAUUUAUUAAAUUACCUGUCGUUUCGCGUCGCCCCCUGACGUGCACGCAAGCCGGGUCAAGGUUACAGCAGAGUCGGCUGGAGCAGUCUGCCAGUCCUUCCUGGGAAAAUGAGCCUCUGGUGACACGUGAGCGAGUCGCGGCAAUUACACGGAAAUGCCAAGACAAAUCUAUGGGCAACUAUGCCGUCAUAAAAGCACUGCACUGAAAACGAGCGGCUUGACUUGAAAUGUGCUGCGGUUCAAUGAGAACACUGGAACGUGGCCAAUGGCGGCAGACCAGUGGAAGGCAUCGGAAAACGCGUGCCGGGUCGCGUGUCGGAUCCGGUGAAUGCCACAGUGCCGGGCUGUGAGUGGAGCGCUCUUAAUGACGGCUACUGACGCAUUUGUUCUCCAUUCAUCAAAAUUGCACGUGUACACUUUGGCUGCUGGAGUUGUUCUGUGAAUGUGUCAGCAUGCACGGGCCGCAGCAGACGAAAAGUGCCGCGGUGAAGUGAUUGUCUGACAGUCACAUGAAAACAUCAUGAUCGGUCAUGUAUAUGCCACACUCUGAGGUAAUAGGCGGUUGGCGUUCAAGUGUGUGACGAAGACCAGACAAACACAGAUCACAGGCUAAUAAACAAAGAAAUAGGCCUGUGUAAUCCAGCAUGACAGAUUCAAUGUUAUUCCAUCAUUUUAACAAUAUAUAUAAUUUUGCUGUAGCAAGCCUCACCCUGGUUUGACAUAUAUUGGAGUUCAUAUAUGUGUGUGUGUAAAUUGUAUGUACCGUGUACUGUGUAUGGUCCAGAUUAUUAUUAUGAAAAUGAAGGGACACUUAUAAUGAUGCCAUUUGCUUAAACUGUACUGAAUACAGUAUUUGCUCAGGUUGUGCGAUUGAGU
Esox lucius (northern pike) is the source of this 3184-nucleotide long non-coding RNA. RefSeq lists it as uncharacterized. The transcript is spliced from 4 exons. The record is from RefSeq and is a predicted model, not a curated record. NCBI's taxonomy places the organism in Eukaryota, Metazoa, Chordata, Actinopteri, Esociformes, Esocidae.